GCCCCGUUAGCUCAGUUGGAUAGAGCGCUGGAUUCCUAAUCCGGAGGUCUCAGGUUCAAAUCCUGAACGGGGCACCA
RNAcentral lists this transfer RNA (77 nucleotides) under Gammaproteobacteria bacterium. RNAcentral's name for it is "tRNA-Arg". It matches the Rfam family "tRNA". Rfam says of the family: Transfer RNA (tRNA) molecules are approximately 80 nucleotides in length. Their secondary structure includes four short double-helical elements and three loops (D, anti-codon, and T loops). Lineage: Bacteria; Pseudomonadati; Pseudomonadota; Gammaproteobacteria. The record is from RNAcentral. RNAcentral also lists the same sequence under 1 other name.